UUGCACGAUGCAAACCCCGGGCUUCUCCUAAAUUCUUUCUUGAAGAUGAAGGCCCCAAUGCCCGUGCAAUAAGAUUCAGCUGUUUAGUGUUGCAGGUUGGCUAAUCUAUUGGUCUGUGCCUGUGUCAAAGCAACAGCAACAUGU
RNAcentral lists this small nucleolar RNA (144 nucleotides) under Amborella trichopoda. RNAcentral's name for it is "snoRNA snoR134". It matches the Rfam family "small nucleolar RNA snoR134". Lineage: Eukaryota; Viridiplantae; Streptophyta; Magnoliopsida; Amborellales; Amborellaceae. The record is from Rfam by way of RNAcentral.